GGGUAGAUGGCGAAAUUGGUAGACGCAUCACACUCAAAAUGUGACAAUUUAUAUUGUAAGGGUUCGAUUCCCUUUCUGCCUA
Molecule: transfer RNA, 82 nt
Filed under: Gonyostomum semen
Lineage: Eukaryota; Raphidophyceae; Chattonellales; Vacuolariaceae
Description: tRNA-Leu
Rfam family: tRNA
About the family: Transfer RNA (tRNA) molecules are approximately 80 nucleotides in length. Their secondary structure includes four short double-helical elements and three loops (D, anti-codon, and T loops). Further hydrogen bonds mediate the characteristic L-shaped molecular structure. tRNAs have two regions of fundamental functional importance: the anti-codon, which is responsible for specific mRNA codon recognition, and the 3' end, to which the tRNAs corresponding amino acid is attached (by aminoacyl-tRNA synthetases). tRNAs cope with the degeneracy of the genetic code in two manners: having more than one tRNA (with a specific anti-codon) for a particular amino acid; and 'wobble' base-pairing, i.e. permitting non-standard base-pairing at the 3rd anti-codon position.
Source: RNAcentral